UGGGGAAUUUUGGACAAUGGGCGAAAGCCUGAUCCAGCAAUGCCGCGUGUGUGAAGAAGGCCUUCGGGUUGUAAGGCACUUUUGUCCGGAAAGAAAUCCUUGGCUCUAAUACAGUCGGGGGAUGACGGUACCGGAAGAAUAAGCACCGGCUAACUACGUGCCAGCAGCCGCGGUAAUACGUAGGGUGCAAGCGUUAAUCGGAAUUACUGGGCGUAAAGCGUGCGCAGGCGGUUUGCUAAGACCGAUGUGAAAUCCCCGGGCUCAACCUGGGAACUGCAUUGGUGACUGGCAGGCUAGAGUAUGGCAGAGGGGGGUAGAAUUCCACGUGUAGCAGUGAAAUGCGUAGAGAUGUGGAGGAAUACCGAUGGCGAAGGCAGCCCCCUGGGCCAAUACUGACGCUCAUGCACGAAAGCGUGGGGAGCAAACAGGAUUAGAUACCCUGGUAGUCCACGCCCUAAACGAUGUCAACUAGUUGUUGGGGAUUCAUUUCCUUAGUAACGUAGCUAACGCGUGAAGUUGACCGCCUGGGGAGUACGGUCGCAAGAUUAAAACUUAAAUGAAUUGAC
RNAcentral lists this ribosomal RNA (566 nucleotides) under uncultured bacterium. RNAcentral's name for it is "partial 16S ribosomal RNA". It matches the Rfam family "Bacterial small subunit ribosomal RNA", at positions 355 to 914 of the family's 1533-position model. The record is from RNAcentral.